This 478-nucleotide ribosomal RNA is filed under the name uncultured bacterium. RNAcentral describes it as "partial 16S ribosomal RNA". It matches the Rfam family "Bacterial small subunit ribosomal RNA", at positions 28 to 523 of the family's 1533-position model. The record is from RNAcentral.
GACGAACGCUGGCGGCGUGCUUAACACAUGCAAGUCGAACGGUAAGGCCCUUCGGGGUACACGAGUGGCGAACGGGUGAGUAACACGUGGGUGAUCUGCCCUGCACUUCGGGAUAAGCCUGGGAAACUGGGUCUAAUACCGGAUAGGACCACUGCCUGCAUGGGUGGUGGUGGAAAGCUUUUGCGGUGUGGGAUGGGCCCGCGGCCUAUCAGCUUGUUGGUGGGGUGAUGGCCUACCAAGGCGACGACGGGUAGCCGGCCUGAGAGGGUGACCGGCCACACUGGGACUGAGAUACGGCCCAGACUCCUACGGGAGGCAGCAGUGGGGAAUAUUGCACAAUGGGCGCAAGCCUGAUGCAGCGACGCCGCGUGAGGGAUGACGGCCGUCGGGUUGUAAACCUCUUUCAGCACCGGCGAAGCGCAAGUGACGGUAGGUGCAGAAGAAGGACCGGCCAACUACGUGCCAGCAGCCGCGGUAA